Molecule: ribosomal RNA, 460 nt
Filed under: uncultured bacterium
Lineage: Bacteria
Description: partial 16S ribosomal RNA
Rfam family: Bacterial small subunit ribosomal RNA
Source: RNAcentral
CCUACGGGUGGCAGCAGUGAGGAAUAUUGGUCAAUGGACGAGAGUCUGAACCAGCCAUGCAGCGUGAAGGAUGACUGCCCUAUGGGUUGUAAACUUCUUUUAUACAGGAAUAAAACGAGGCACGUGUGCCUUUUUGCAUGUACUUUAUGAAUAAGGAUCGGCUAACUCCGUGCCAGCAGCCGCGGUAAUACGGAGGAUCCGAGCGUUAUCCGGAUUUAUUGGGUUUAAAGGGAGCGUAGAUGGGUUGUUAAGUCAGUUGUGAAAGUUUGGGGCUCAACCGUAAAAUUGCCAUUGAUACUGGCGGUCUAGAGUACAGUUGAGGUAGGCGGAAUGCGUGGUGUAGCGGUGAAAUGCUUAGAGAUCACGAAGAACACCGAUUGCGAAGGCAGCUUACUAAACUGCCACUGACAUUGAUGCUCGAAAGUGUGGGUAGCAAACAGGAUUAGAUACCCCUGUAGUC